CCCGCAACCGAUCAGGACACCACCACGGGUCAAUCGGCAACUCCUGCUAUCGCCAUCGGCAACGUCCCUGCUAUCGCCAUCGGCAAACAUUGAUACUAGUCAUCGGUUAGGAAUGCGCUAUCACUUCCGGACCUAGCCAUAUCCAACCGCCCCUUCAUCGGCAACUUUCCUCAUCGGCAACGCUUCCACAGUCUAGUUACCGUUGCUCCGCCUGCCGAUCUUGUACUCUACCGGUUUUUGUGCACGUAUCCAAAAAAUGGUGUCAACAGAACGUGCAAGUGAAUCUUGAUUUAACCACAUGACAAGCUCCUAAGGGUCUACACAGCUUGACCACAGUCGAUGCUCAUAAGAAGUAAAAAGUAAAUGUGUGGCUCAAAGUCUAGCA
RNAcentral lists this long non-coding RNA (385 nucleotides) under Sorghum bicolor (sorghum). RNAcentral's name for it is "long non-coding RNA (SBIC_LNC018006)". The record is from RNAcentral. Lineage: Eukaryota; Viridiplantae; Streptophyta; Magnoliopsida; Poales; Poaceae.